RNAcentral lists this ribosomal RNA (1214 nucleotides) under human gut metagenome. Its description in RNAcentral is "bacterial LSU rRNA". It matches the Rfam family "Bacterial large subunit ribosomal RNA", at positions 1344 to 2567 of the family's 2925-position model. The record is from RNAcentral.
CCCAAGGAUUCCAGGGGAAGGUUCGUCCGCCCUGGGUAAGUCGGGACCUAAGGCGAGGCCGAAAGGCGUAGUGGAUGGAAAGCAGGCGAAAGAUUCCUGCACCCGUAUAUGGAGCGAAGGAGUGACGGAGACGGAUAGUGUGACCCUCUUAAUGGAUUGAGGGCGAAGCGAAGCGGCUGGUUACCAGGCAAAUCCGGUAACCAAAAGGCUAGAGCGUGACAGGUAAGCGAAAUCUUAGGAAAGUAGCGAAGCACAUGAUGACGGCUUCCAGGAAAAGCUUCUGGCAAUGCAUAUGCGGCCCGUACCAAAACCGACACAGGUGGGCAGGGAGAGAAUCCCGAGGUGAGCGAGAGAACUGUUGCCAAGGAACUCGGCAAAAUGACUCCGUAAGUUAGCGAGAAGGAGUGCUUAAGCAAUUAAGCCGCAGUGAAGAGGCCCAAGCGACUGUUUAACUAAAACACAGCUCUCUGCGAAGUCGCAAGACGAAGUAUAGGGGGUGACACCUGCCCGGUGCUGGAAGGUUAAGAGGAUCUGUUAAGAGCGAUCUGAAGCAGUGAUCCGAAGCCCCAGUGAACGGCGGCCGUAACUAUAACGGUCCUAAGGUAGCGAAAUUCCUUGUCAGGUAAGUUCUGACCCGCACGAAAGGUGUAACGAUUUGGGCGCUGUCUCGGCAGCAGACUCGGUGAAAUCUUAGUACCUGUGAAAAUGCAGGUUACCCGCAACUAGACGGAAAGACCCCAUGGAGCUUUACUGCAGCCUGAUAUUGAAUUCUGGUCAUACAUGUACAGGAUAGGUGGGAGACAAAGAGACGUGCACGCCAGUGUACGAGGAGUCGACGUUGGGAUACCACUCUUGUGUGACCGGGGUUCUAACCUGGUAUCGAGAACAGGUACGGGGAGAGUGUCAGGUGGGCAGUUUGACUGGGGCGGUCGCCUCCCAAAGAGUAACGGAGGCGCCCAAAGGUACGCUCAGAUUGGAUGGAAACCAAUCGUCGAGUGCAAUUGCAGAAGCGUGCUUGACUGUGAGACAAACAAGUCGAACAGGGACGAAAGUCGGGAAUAGUGAUCCGGCGGUGCCGAAUGGAAGGGCCGUCGCUCAACGGAUAAAAGCUACCCUGGGGAUAACAGGCUGAUCUCGCCCAAGAGUUCACAUCGACGGCGAGGUUUGGCACCUCGAUGUCGGCUCAUCGCAUCCUGGAGCUGGAUUCGGUUCCA